GAUGAACGCUGGCGGCGUGCCUAAUACAUGCAAGUCGAACGAAACUUCUUUAUCACCGAGUGCUUGCACUCACCGACAAAGAGUUGAGUGGCGAACGGGUGAGUAACACGUGGGCAACCUGCCCAAAAGAGGGGGAUAACACUUGGAAACAGGUGCUAAUACCGCAUAACCAUAGUUACCGCAUGGUAACUAUGUAAAAGGUGGCUAUACUACCGCUUUUGGAUGGGCCCGCGGCGCAUUAGCUAGUUGGUAGGGUAAAGGCUUACCAAGGCAAUGGUGCGUCGCCGAAGGAAGGGGUGGAUCGCCCACAGUGGCACUGAACCACGCCCAAAACCCCUCCGGGAGGCACAAGUAGGGAGUCUUCAACAAGGGGAGAAACCCUUAUGGAGCAACCCCGGGGGGGGGAAGAGGGUUUGGGGAUCUAAAAACCUUUUGUUUGGAGAAAAAGGGGCGGGAGGUUAACUUUUCACGUUUCGACGGUAUCUAACAAGAAGCCCCCGGCAAACUACGUC
This 512-nucleotide ribosomal RNA is filed under the name uncultured bacterium. Its description in RNAcentral is "partial 16S ribosomal RNA". It matches the Rfam family "Bacterial small subunit ribosomal RNA", at positions 28 to 507 of the family's 1533-position model. The record is from RNAcentral.